CAUGGUCUUAGCUUGCUAAGACUGAUGGCGACCGGCGCACGGGUGAGUAACACGUAUCCAACCUGCCGUCUACUCUUGGACAGCCUUCUGAAAGGAAGAUUAAUACAAGAUGGCAUCAUGAGUCCACAUGUUCACAUGAUUAAAGGUAUUCCGGUAGACGAUGGGGAUGCGUUCCAUUAGAUAGUAGGCGGGGUAACGGCCCACCUAGUCUUCGAUGGAUAGGGGUUCUGAGAGGAAGGUCCCCCACAUUGGAACUGAGACACGGUCCAAACUCCUACGGGAGGCAGCAGUGAGGAAUAUUGGUCAAUGGGCGAGAGCCUGAACCAGCCAAGUAGCGUGAAGGAUGACUGCCCUAUGGGUUGUAAACUUCUUUUAUAAAGGAAUAAAGUCGGGUAUGCAUACCCGUUUGCAUGUACUUUAUGAAUAAGGAUCGGCUAACUCCGUGCCAGCAGCCGCGGUAAUACGGAGGAUCCGAGCGUUAUCCGGAUUUAUUGGGUUUAAAGGGAGCGUAGAUGGAUGUUUAAGUCAGUUGUGAAAGUUUGCGGCUCAACCGUAAAAUUGCAGUUGAUACUGGAUAUCUUGAGUGCAGUUGAGGCAGGCGGAAUUCGUGGUGUAGCGGUGAAAUGCUUAGAUAUCACGAAGAACUCCGAUUGCGAAGGCAGCCUGCUAAGCUGCAACUGACAUUGAGGCUCGAAAGUGUGGGUAUCAAACAGG
This 714-nucleotide ribosomal RNA is filed under the name uncultured Bacteroidales bacterium. RNAcentral's name for it is "bacterial SSU rRNA". It matches the Rfam family "Bacterial small subunit ribosomal RNA", at positions 70 to 776 of the family's 1533-position model. Lineage: Bacteria; Pseudomonadati; Bacteroidota; Bacteroidia; Bacteroidales. The record is from RNAcentral.